GAGAUUUGCCUGGGAAAUUUUGAAGAGACGGACACAUGGUACUUGAGCACAGUGGGUGUCUAUGCAUAAAGAAGACAGCAACAUGAAGCUGAGAUUGAUUCCCAUUGGUACUGAAUCAGAACUCAUAGAAACAAGUAAAUCUCCUUGGAAAUUAUCACCUAUCAGGUCACCAUCACACCAAGGCACUCGAAGAGACAUUGACGGCGAAAAGGAAUUGAACUCAAUGGGAAAGCACGGCACCAUGAAGGAGCCACCAUGCAAGGGCAGCAAGUGAAUCCAGGGGAGGUCUGUCUCCAAGAAGACGAGCAAGGAAGGCCGAAAUGCUCAUUUGUAAAGGAAGUAUUUGAAAUGUCACCCUCCCCCUUUUUUUCUAAACUGUUUUCUUGGGAAGCCUUCUUAUAGAAACUUAAGAAAAGAUGACUGGGAAUUUAUAUUGUUGAUAUGGGCACACCACGUCAAGGACCCCAAUGCCUCAGACCUCUGCAAAUGAUAAAGCUUCCAUGGGUCAGGUUUGGAGAAAUGGCAAAGCCUUCCACUCUCCCGAGUACCAGUAUUGACAACUGAUUGCUCUUUAGUUAAUGCCAGUGUAGAGUUAGCACCCACCAGAACCAUGGCUUCCUCCUGCUGCAUAUUUACAACUUAAGACUGUUCCCCUAUGAAGACUUCCCACUCAGACAAGCUAACCCCUCAGUGGUGGUUUGAAUGAGAAUGACCCCUGUACAAUCAUACAGUUGAAUGCCCCCCCCCCCCACCCAGUUGGCGAAUCUGUUUGGGAAGGAUUAGGAGGUGUAGACUUGGAGGAGGUGUGUUACUGGAGGUGGUCUUUGAGGUUUAAGAAGCCCCCACCAUUUCCAAGUAGAAUCUCUCUCUGCCUAGUGCUUGUGAAUCAGAUAUAAACUCUCAACUGCUUCUACAGUGCCUACCUGCCUGUUUUCAUGUUUCCUGCCCUGAUAGUCAUGGACUCACCCUCUGAAACUGUAAGCAAAUUCUCAAUAAAAUACCUUCUUCUAUAAGUUGCCUUGGUCAUGGUGUCUCCUCACAGCAAUAGAGCAGUAACUAAGACACUCUUUUUCUUGUGCUAUAUAAAAUAAACACUUGUUGUUUGGGGGUUGUAUAGUAAGUGGCUUCCAUCAAAGUGAGCACACCCCAGGUGAUUCCAGCUUUUCUCUAUGAGACUCUGUCAUUUCUCGUGACAUUUUCUUAUGAUAUCUCAUAUUGCCCCAGCUAGCUUUCUGGGAUGAAGCCAUGCAGCUUAUGGGCUGCUCUUGAGAGCACAGUUGUAGGAGAACCUGAUGAAUUCAUGGAGUGUUAUCUUUUUCAUCCAGCAAGUCUACUGUUCUCAUGAGAAAGGCGUUCUUCCUUGAACACCUCAUCAGGGUCUUAGUCAGGGGAGUCAGCAGUGUGGUAUUAAUUGUAAACAACAGUUAGAGAAAUUUGCAUUUUUGAAAGUCCCAUCCUUCUCACAGAAAAUCCAGAUGGGAUGAUGUGUUCUCUUCAGACCCCUCCCCCCUCGGGUUUUUUUUUUUUCCUGAGUGUUAAUUAAAAAUCUUGUUAACAACAAUGUGUGAAUAAUGUGUUUACCGCUGAAUUUCUUUGGGCAGUGGUUUGCUAUGUAUAUGCAAAUUUUAUUUUUGCACGUUUGCUUUUCCUCCAAUUUCGAAUAAAAUUGUUGAAAAGAUAA
RNAcentral lists this long non-coding RNA (1681 nucleotides) under Mus musculus (house mouse). RNAcentral describes it as "RIKEN cDNA 5930403N24 gene, transcript variant 4 (5930403N24Rik)". The record is from RNAcentral. Lineage: Eukaryota; Metazoa; Chordata; Mammalia; Rodentia; Muridae.